This 692-nucleotide ribosomal RNA is filed under the name Steinernema sp. eLBI3.4_TH. RNAcentral's name for it is "partial large subunit ribosomal RNA". Lineage: Eukaryota; Metazoa; Nematoda; Chromadorea; Rhabditida; Steinernematidae. The record is from RNAcentral.
GAGGCGUUCAUGUGCGGUUUGUUGAUGGUGCGAAUUCUCUUUGACUAGGGAUCCAAAGAGGGUGCUAGACCCUUACGCAUUGUUGACUUUUCGUACGCGUUCGUUUCUUGGAGUAGGGUUGUUUUGGAUCGCAGCCCAAAGUAGGUGGUAUACUUCAUCUAAAGCUAAAUACGACUACGAAUCCGAUAGCAAACAAGUACCGUGAGGGAAAGUUGCAAAGUACUUUGAAGAGAGAGUUCAAGAGGACGUGAAACCGGUAGGGUGGAAGCAGAUAAAGUUGACGAACGUGUGUCGUAUUCAGAACUACAAUUUGUGGUUUGUUUUUACGAUCGAUGUGGGCUGGCGUCUUUGGUUAACUUAGUGUCUGGCGGCAAUGGUGACCCUGCGGAGGGAUAAUCGGUUGUCGUGCGAUGCUUGGUAUGGCUAGAGGUUCGCUGGUCUUAUAGUCAUCGCUUUAUCUGACCCGUCUUGAAACACGGACCAAGGAGUGUASCGCUUACGCGAGUCUUAGAGUGUGUCAAAACUUUGAGGCGUAACGAAAGUAAAUGUGGAUUAUUCACUGACUUGGGAUGCGUUGUCUUUUUUGGAUAGCGUUGGACCAUGGUUUUAUCGUAAUCGCUUGCGAUGCGGUGAAAAUAGAGCGUAAGCGGUGCGACCCGAAAGAUGGUGAACUAUGCCUGAGCAGGAUGAAG